UACCAGCACCCCCGAGUGGUCGGACGAUUAUUGGGCCUAAAGCAUCCGUAGCCGGUACUGCAAGUCUUCCGUUAAAUCCACCUGCUUAACAGUUGGGCUGCGGGGGAUACUACAGCGCUAGGAGGCGGGAGAGGCAAGCGGUACUCAAUGGGUAGGGGUAAAAUCCGCUGAUCCAUUGAAGACCACCAGUGGCGAAGGCGGCUUGCCAGAACGCACUCGACGGUGAGGGAUGAAAGCUGGGGGAGCAAACCGGAUUAGAUACCCUGGUAGU
RNAcentral lists this ribosomal RNA (271 nucleotides) under uncultured bacterium. Its description in RNAcentral is "partial 16S ribosomal RNA". It matches the Rfam family "Archaeal small subunit ribosomal RNA", at positions 474 to 745 of the family's 1478-position model. The record is from RNAcentral.